AUGCUCAGGGAAGGCAGGGCGACCUGGAAGUCCAACUACUUCCUUAAGAUCAUCCAACUUUUGGGUGAUUACCCAAAAUGCUUCAUUGUGGGAGCAGACAACGUGGGCUCCAAGCAGAUGCAGCAGAUUCGCAUGUAGGGAAGGCUGUGGUGCUAAUGGGUAAGAACACAUGAUUCGCAAGGCCAUCAGGGGACACCUGGAGAAUAACCCAGCUCUGGAGAAACUGCUGCCUCACAUCCAGGGGGACGUGGGCUUCGUGUUCACCAAGGAGGACCUCACUGAGAUUAGGGAUAUACUGUUGGCCAAUAAGGUGCCAACUGCUGCUCGUGCUGGUGCCAUCUCCCUGUGUGAGGUCACUGCCAGCUCAGAACACUGGUCUGGGGCCCGAGAAGACCUCCUUCUUCCAGGCUUUAGGCAUCACCACCAAAAUCUCCAGAGGCACCAUUGAAAUUCUGAGUGAUGUGCAACUGAUAAAGACUUGGAGACAAGGUGGGAGCCAGUGAGGCCACACUGCUGAACACGCUGAAUAUCUUCCCCCUUCUCCUUCCAGCUCAUCAUCCAGCAGGGGUUUGACAACGGCAGCAUCUAUAACCCAGCAGUACUGGACAUCACAGAGCAGACCCCGCACUCUCGCUUCCUCGAGGGUGUCCGCAGCACGGCCAGCGUGUGUCUGCAGGUCGGGUACCCGACUGUUGCCUUGGUGCCCCACUUCAUCAAUGGGUACAAGCGCGUCCUGGCUUUGUCUGUGGAGACUGAGUACACUUUCCCAGCUGCUGAAAAGCUCAAGGCCUUCCUGGCUGAUCCAUCUGCAUUUGCAGCUGCUGCCCCUGUGGCUGCCCCUGCCAAGGCUGAAGCAAAGGAAGAGUCAGUGGAAUCAGAUGAGAAUAUGGGAUUCGGUCUCUUCGAC
Mus musculus (house mouse) is the source of this 907-nucleotide RNA transcript. It is a transcript of the gene named predicted gene 5779, with no coding region annotated. Lineage: Eukaryota; Metazoa; Chordata; Mammalia; Rodentia; Muridae. The record is from RefSeq and is marked provisional. The transcript has a single exon.